This 424-nucleotide ribosomal RNA is filed under the name Pelophylax cf. bedriagae. RNAcentral describes it as "partial 12S ribosomal RNA". It matches the Rfam family "Bacterial small subunit ribosomal RNA", at positions 15 to 790 of the family's 1533-position model. The record is from RNAcentral. Lineage: Eukaryota; Metazoa; Chordata; Amphibia; Anura; Ranidae.
GGUCCUAGCCUUACUAUCAUCUGUUUCUCAUUUUACACAUGCAAGUCUCAGCACCCCAGUGAGAACGCCCUUUUAACCUACACCAGGAGAAGGAGCUGGCAUCAGGCACUAUCCCUGCCCAUAACACCUAGUCUCACCACACCCCCAAGGGUAAUCAGCAGUGAUAAAUCUUAAAUAUAAGCGACAGCUUGAUUUAGUUAGAGAAAAGAGGGCCGGCUAACCCGGUGCCAGCCGCCGCGGCUACACCGUGGGGCCCGAGCUGAUAGUCACCGGCGUUAAGCGUGAUUAAAGCCCUCAACAAUUAGGGUUAAAUUAAUAUUUAGUAGUGAUAAGCUUGUUAUUAAGAAAACCAUAAACGAAAGUUACCCUAAUUACACUUGAAUCCACGACAACUGGGAAAACAAACUGGGAUUAGAUACCCCAC